RNAcentral lists this ribosomal RNA (1271 nucleotides) under Soybean phyllody phytoplasma. RNAcentral describes it as "bacterial SSU rRNA". It matches the Rfam family "Bacterial small subunit ribosomal RNA", at positions 147 to 1417 of the family's 1533-position model. The record is from RNAcentral. Lineage: Bacteria; Bacillati; Mycoplasmatota; Mollicutes; Acholeplasmatales; Acholeplasmataceae.
CCGUUGGAAACAGUGGCUAAGACUGGAUAGGAAGAUAAAAGGCAUCUUUUAUCUUUUAAAAGACCUAGUAAUAGGUAUGCUUUAGGAGGGGCUUGCGCCAUAUUAGUUAGUUGGUAGGGUAAUGGCCUACCAAGACGAUGAUGUGUAGCUGGACUGAGAGGUUGAACAGCCACAUUGGGACUGAGACACGGCCCAAACUCCUACGGGAGGCAGCAGUAGGGAAUUUUCGGCAAUGGAGGAAACUCUGACCGAGCAACGCCGCGUGAAUGACGAAGUACUUCGGUAUGUAAAGUUCUUUUAUCAAGGAAGAAAAGCAAAUGGCGAACCAUUUGUUUGCCGGUACUUGAUGAAUAAGCCCCGGCUAAUUAUGUGCCAGCAGCCGCGGUAAGACAUAAGGGGCAAGUGUUAUCCGGAAUUAUUGGGCGUAAAGGGUGCGUAGGCGGUCUAGUAAGUCAGUGGUGUAAUGGCAACGCUUAACGUUGUCCGGCUAUUGAAACUGCUAAACUUGAGUUAGAUAGAGGCGAGUGGAAUUCCAUGUGUAGCGGUAAAAUGCGUAAAUAUAUGGAGGAACACCAGAGGCGUAGGCGGCUCGCUGGGUCUUAACUGACGCUGAGGCACGAAAGCGUGGGGAGCAAACAGGAUUAGAUACCCUGGUAGUCCACGCCGUAAACGAUGAGUACUAAGUGUCGGGUUAAACCGGUACUGAAGUUAACACAUUAAGUACUCCGCCUGAGUAGUACGUACGCAAGUAUGAAACUUAAAGGAAUUGACGGGACUCCGCACAAGCGGUGGAUCAUGUUGUUUAAUUCGAAGAUACCCGAAAAACCUUACCAGGUCUUGACAUGUUUUUGCAAAAUGAUAGUAAUAUCGUGGAGGUUACCAGAAACACAGGUGGUGCAUGGUUGUCGUCAGCUCGUGUCGUGAGAUGUUAGGUUAAGUCCUAAAACGAGCGAAACCCUUAUCGUUAGUUGCCAGCACGUUAUGGUGGGGACUUUAACGAGACUGCCAAUGAUAAAUUGGAGGAAGGUGAGGAUCACGUCAAAUCAGCAUGCCCCUUAUGACCUGGGCUACAAACGUGAUACAAUGGCUGUUACAAAGGGUAGCUGAAACGCAAGUUCUUGGCCAAUCCCCAAAAACAGUCCCAGUCCGGAUUGAAGUCUGCAACUCGACUUCAUGAAGUUGGAAUCGCUAGUAAUCGCGAAUCAGCAUGUCGCGGUGAAUACGUUCUCGGGGUUUGUACACACCGCCCGUCAAACCACGAAAGUUGGCAA